RNAcentral lists this ribosomal RNA (494 nucleotides) under uncultured bacterium. RNAcentral's name for it is "partial 16S ribosomal RNA". It matches the Rfam family "Bacterial small subunit ribosomal RNA", at positions 28 to 507 of the family's 1533-position model. The record is from RNAcentral.
GACGAACGCUGGCGGCGCGCUUAACACAUGCCAGUCGAACGGAAAGGCCUGCUUUCCCUUGUGGAUUGCGGGUACUCGAGUGGCGAACGGGUGAGUAACACGUGAGUGAUCUGCCCCCAACUUGGGUAUAAGCCUGGGAAACUGGGUCUAAUUCCCGAUAGGACUGCAGGGUGGUGCCUGUGGUGGAAAACGAUUUUCUAGUGGUUGGGGAUGAGCUCGCGGCCUAUCAGCUUGUUGGUGGGGUAAUGGCCUACCAAGGCGGCGACGGGUAGCCGGCCUGGGAGGGUAGACGGGCACAUUGGGACUGAGAUACGGCACAGACAAAUACGGGAGGCAGCAGUGGGGAAUAUUGCACAAUGGGCGGAAGCCUGAUGCAGCGAAGCCGCGUGGGGAAUGACGGCAUUCGGGUUGUAAACUCCUUUGGACCGCGAGGAAGCCACCUGGUUGGAAGGGUGGUGACGGUAGUGGUAGAAGAAGCACCGGCUAACUACGUG